RNAcentral lists this long non-coding RNA (8606 nucleotides) under Triticum aestivum (bread wheat). Its description in RNAcentral is "long non-coding RNA (TAES_LNC000511)". Lineage: Eukaryota; Viridiplantae; Streptophyta; Magnoliopsida; Poales; Poaceae. The record is from RNAcentral.
UGAAAUUUGGAGGAGGGAGAUAAUAUGAGCACAAGAAGAGGCAUGCAAAAUUUCAACUCAUUUGGAUUCUCCUAGCUAGUACUUCCUUCACAUUGGCUUCUGUUUGACAGAAACUUUGAAAAAUCACUGAGGAAGAUUGGUUAGGCAAAUAAAGUUGAAUUUUGGCAUGUGGAAAUUAUUUGGACAUAAAAGAAUGCCCAACAAGUUUGGGAUCAAACAAGAUAAGAUAAAUGACACUUCCUUCACAAAGUGCCACCCUGGACAGAAAGGAAGAAUAAUUAUUGGGGAAUUAUUCUUGGGCUAGGACAGGACAGUUUGGUCAUAUUUGAGCAACAUAUGACCCAAAGGAAUUAUGAGAAUUAUUUGGGAAUUUUUGGAUGGACAGAAAUAUAGGUUGCUUCACAACCUAGGGCAGACAGGGUUAUUCCCUUAAUAGAAAAAGGAAUAUUCCUGAGAAAAAGAAAUUAGGGUUUGGUCAAGCAGUGAAGUGACAUGAUCUUGGCAAGGUUUUGAGAAUGAUGAGCCACUUGGGAGAGGAAAUGAAGGUGAUUUCCCAGGUGGCAAGGCCACAGAACCACCCCAAAAAGAAAAACAGAGCAAAAACUAAUAAAUCAAAAAGAAAAAGAAAAGGGCCAAAAACCAGCCUGUUACAAACCUUCCCCCCUUAAAGAAAUCUCGUCCUCGAGAUUUGGUUGCUCAGGGAACAAGUAUGACUUUAGGACACCGUUUCCAACUCGGGUAUCCUUUUUCCUUUAUUUAGUGUUCCCCCAAGAAUUUCAUAUGAUUUUCUUCCCUUGCUCUGGGGUGGUUUGCUUCACCUUUCCCAAAUCCUGACAGGUUUUUGCUCAUACCAAUUCCUUUUUACUGGCGUUGAUUCUCCAUACCCGGGGUGAUAUCCAACGGAUCUGAGCAUAAAUUUUUUUUUGGUCAUGAAAACCUUUUUACUCUUGUCAUGGGGUUGCUUCAAACAAAUGCAGGCCUUCUGUUUUCAACAAAUGCUGAGAGUUAAUCAUGGCCAUCUUCUGACGGGAUCUGACUGCUCAUAAGUGGUACCGAUUUAUUUGAUUUAUUUUUUUGGCUCGAUCAUGGGAUAUCUACCAAAGAUUUGACUGCCUUCUGUCGUGAGAAAUAUAACAGGGUAUAGACUUAUAACUGUAGCAUACCUCAAUUAUUGACAUCUUGAGACUGUCCUGACAGGUAUGCUGGUGGGAAGAUACUUUUCAUGACAGGUUGUCCGGGUACUAGGUUACACAAGUGGAUAUACCUGGUCUGAGCUGAUUUUUCGAUUUUUGAUUUGCCCAUGUUGUCGGUAUACCCAGAUGUGGUAAUAGGCUGUGCGAUGCUUUACACUGUUACUGAAGUCAAACUGCUGAGGUUGCAAAAGAAUCUUGGAUCUGACAGAACAGACUUGGAUAUUCCACACUAACCAUUCCAAGUGGGUCAGCGGGAUAUGAAAUCCUUGUAAAACAUAGUAGGCCUCUGAGGGUAUGCCUUUGGGGAUCAUAUGGAAUUAGGGCCUCCAACUGAUUCGGGUAUCCGGACCUUGAUGGUCGUGCAGAAAUCAUCAUACCUUUGCUGUCAGUCUCACCCUUUAACGGUCAUGAUUUUCUUUGUCAGGAUAUCUUACUGAAAUAGGUUGGCAACAUAUAUCAUUGAUUCUUCGUAUGACCAUGGUUGUGGCUAGUGCAAUAUUUUGUCAUUACUCCUGGUGCUUGGGUUCCACACGUAUAUGACAUAUACUCGGGGCUUGUAGCUGUACAGAGCUCUUUGUUGAGGCCAACCAUACAAGAGUUCAUGAGAUCUCCUUGUCGGUGCGGGAAUAUUGGCCUUGGUGGCCACUGUCAAGACUGUUGAUUCUGUGAUGUCUUAUCCAGAUCUUAUAGAUCCUUGUAUUACAUAAGAUGUGUAUCUCUGCUUAUCUUCAUUUGCAUGAUUCAUGAGGUUGGGGGAUCCUUACUUUCCUUAGGUAUACCUGUUGGAUCCUUGUCAUACCUCGUAUGAGUGACUGAUAUUAUUGGGGAUGCAUGCUCACCAUAUGUGUAAGAAUCAUAUGCAACCGAACACUUGAUUCUUGAGGUAGGCAUAUGUUUUGACUGAUUUGUGCUUCUGACCAAAAAUAUUGCGGAUCUGACUCUUGAGCUGUAUUGCCAUAUAUUGCCAACUCACCGCAUAAUCUCUGAGGGCGGUGCAAUAGUGUGGUACUGACGCAGAUUAAUUGUCUUACAAGAGAAGCCAUCCGAGUAGCUUGCUGAGGAAGACUUGUUAACUUCUGCUCAAAUCUUUUGUCUGGGUAUCGUGUCAAAGAAGGCUCUAUAGCUUAUACAUGAAGCUUGGUCUGAUUAUUGUGCUGGAGAAGCCUGAGUUCCGUACUUGAGAAGCUUCUCCUCGGGUUUGCUUGUUGAGAAAAAUUAUUUUCAUCUGUCAGAAGCUUUUACUGAGGUAUCUUGCUGAGACAGACCGGGUAUCUUGGACCAGAAAUUGUUCACAUGUCAUGCUGAGGAAAAUCGAGGAGCCUUGCAUCAUAAAUUUCUUCCGAUAGCGUGUGGAAGAAGACUGAGUUUCUUACAUCCAAAGCUUCAUACUAAUAUGCAGACUGAAAUCUACGCACAUGCCCAUAAUAUCCGGUGGCUGAUUAUUUGCAUGAGAAAAUUUGUUUGACUGUCUUCCUUGAGCAUAUCACAUUCUGACUUUAUUUCGGAUGAUAACAUAUCUCAAGCAUCAUGCAUUGCUGAGCCAAUUUUUUUGUAUAUGAUCCAUACCUCUAACUGAAAAUAUACCGUUGAUCUUGUACCUGACUUGCCUUGCGGCUUACUUGAUCAUUACUGCUGUGAGAUUUUGUACUGAUGUGGACUUGACUUAUCAGUACUGUUGUGAGGAGUGCACACUAAUGCAAAAUUGAUUAUCAGCCUCAAAGUCAGAUAUUCCCAAUUCACCGCAGUCGCCUGAGAAUUCCAUUCUGUUUAGCUGAGUUUCCAAAUAUUUAAACUCCUUGUUGCUUCUUUGAGUCCGGUGUUGGUUGAUGAGCAACUCUUUAUAGGGGGAAAAAUAAUGUAACACCGGGGCCCAAAAGACAGAAGCAAAAGAAAACUCAACUAAACAACAUCACACAACAACAAUCAAUUCACACACAAUCAAUGUCACAUAUUACUACUAGUCACACAAUAUGCAUGCCUACUUAAGCACACAAAUCUCGCGGGAUCUCCGGUUCUACGAUCUAGCAUGCUGUGACGGUGUGCACGAGGACGAAUAUGUGUGGAAGAAUUGGGUGUAAACAACGCUAAACCAAGUGCUGGCUUAGCCAGGUAGCAACCUGGACUAGCUCGGAGGCGAGGACGCACUCAGUAAUCAUGUAGUGGGACACGAAGGUCGCAACCACGUUAUUAUCAAGCGGAUGGAAAAAGAUUCGUACUCGUCCAAGGAAUAGGAUAGCGGGAGAAAACUGAGGCUGCUGACAUUGCCCUUUCUUGAUAACUAAGAUCAUUAAGGGUUGCCAACAUGACAAAAUGAAAAAGCGAUUCGGGAUAGAAGCAUGUCCAUCACCGAAACGAUAGGCGGGGCUGAAAGGAGGAUAUCGGCGAGAUACCUGAGCACCAGUUUUGCAAACGGUGUCGGGAUCACUUGGCAUCACUCUGCUGGGACAGAAAUGACACCAAACACCGAAGAACGAGCAAUAAAAGAAAACUGGAGAAAUGCAAAGGCUGAGCUGUAGUGGAUCCAAACCGAUGCCAGCUACACUCACUAGAUAAACCGUUAGCAACAAAUACUAAGGCUAUAUGCAUAUUAUGCAGCAACCAAAUGCAAUAAACAAGCCGUACUUUAAACUACCGAUUUCUACCGGUUUCUACCGCUCGCGCUGACUAGGGUGUCCUACAGCCAGACCUGCUUUGAUACCAAGCGUUGUGCCACCUCGGCUCAGAGAAACCGGAACACCCCGUAUUCCAGCCCAGAGAUCGAGGAGAAGUCUUCUGGAAUACGGCACUGCUUAGCAUAGAACAAACCAGCUUUCUAUUAUUACACGAAUAUGAACACAAGGUCUCCGAUAUUACAAUGAAUAACAUCGGCACGGCGACACUACGCCUGCCACGGUUGCUCUAUGCAAGCAGCAGGACAACACGAUGCAGCGGAAUAACUCUAGCAGCGGAACAACGACGACGGUGGUGAACUCCACUCCACAGGGACUCUGGCUGGAACGCUUAUCCUAGCUCGCACGAACGGAAACCACGACAAGCAAGCAAUCAAAUCCGGCAUGACCUGCAAACUGGCAUGACACGCCAGGUCAGUACAUUGAAUGUACUUGCAAGCUCACAAUAACCAGAAGCAUUCAAGACAUACAACAGCAUGGCAAUUACAGGCUAAACACGGAUUAACAUUGUAUUAUCCGAACAACAUAGCAUGAACAACAUGAUACAAGUAGAACAAUAUGAGCAUGGCAGGAACAUAUAAACAUGAUGACACUAUCAUGCAACAUGAUGACAUUAUCAUGCACCAACUUACUCUGCUCGGGUUAUCUCGUAACCAUCACAUGCAGCACUUACCAACCUCGGACAUCACACGAUCAUCUUAGGAUCAAAUCAAGCUUGGUAUAAACAAUACCAUAGUAAUCAUUAAAUGAACACAAGGAGCUUGAUCUUUACCCACGAUUCUCGCACAACAUCAUGAAUAUCCAACAAUUCGGUAUCCUCGAUACCACGGUGAUCAUUCACGGGUCACAAACGAAACCACUCUGGGCUCAAUGGGUUACCUCGUAAUCAAACGGUGAUCAUUCACGGAUCACAAACGGAACCACUCUGGGCUCAACGGGUUACCUCGUAACCAAACGGUGAUCAUUCACGGAUCACAUCACCAACAUAUGUCAUCAUCGAACCAGGGUUGUUAUUAAUCAAGUUAUUAUGAAUUACUGUUGACUCACAGUGUGACCGACUACGAACUGGGCCCUUAUCCGCGGGCGCGGCUAUCGAUAGAUUUAAUAUACACUCUGCGGAGGUUAGCACACUGUACCCACACCAUGGAACCCAUGACCUCGCACUCCCAUUUCGGGUUAACCAACGGCGUUCCGACAAAACCGAUCUACUGCCAUGACACUCCCCGGCCACUCCGACCCACUCCCCACUGGGCUAGUCCUGGGUGGCCCCGUGUCUACCAAAGACACCAAUGGCCACCGUCGUGGCAAAACAGCCACCAUCGUGGCAAAAACGGUCCCAAACGGGGAUCCAUAACAACAACAACGGUCACACAAGGCUUAUGUCCGCCUACCUGAUCAGGGUAGCGCGCGCCCAUAACCUUCCCUCGUUGGAGGCACCGGAGAUAGGCACGACAAUAGACCCAGUUAGGACCUUCCCAUAAAGGUAAGCGUGGUUGCACUGGUCAGCUCGAUAUGGUGGCACCAUGACUCAGCCAACAGUUGUUCAAGUUCAAUUUAAUCUGGUUAAACUUGAAUGCAAAUAUGCUGAGUCAUGAUAAAAUAACAUGAUGCAAUGACAAUGCAUGAGCAUGAUAUCAACAUAAGCAUGAGGGUACAACAUAACUAUCCACCAUAUCAACAAUGAAUCAUAUCCAACUGAGCAUGGCAUAAUGGCGAGCAUGAAUAUCACAAGUACAAUACUACUCAUAGUAUAACAUGACCGCUAUCAUCAACAAUAAAUACCAUGCAAUAACACAUCAAUAAUGUUACCGAGUAAACACUUAACCAACUAACAGCAAAGGAACAAUGCAUAUCAACGGUACUCGGUAACCGACGUUAGUCAUGCACCGAAGAACAUGACCAACCCAACAUGUACUACCAACAAGCAUGGCAAUAUUAAAGUAAUACAAGCAACUAGAAUAUGAUAACAGAGUGCAAGAAAACAUAGCAUGACGGUAGUCACCGAUCCAUAAGCAUAACCGAAAUGACGACAGCAGUAGCAAAACAAACAGACAGUUAUUAAAGAUUCAAGUUGAAAACCAAUGCUACUGCAUGGCUAUCAUGCAAAUGGUGGUUGUGGUUUGCCUGGGGAUGAAGAAAACACCGGGAAGUUGUGUGGAAAGAUCGCAGAAAGAUUCACCGGAAACACUUCACUCUCGAAAGGGGCUGGUUAACGGCAAGGGCAAAAAGGGCAUUUUCAAUGUGUCAAACCAUAGUGAAAAUGAAACCAACAGAACGGGCUCGACGAGACGAAGACGUGGGCUUUGGAUUCACCUGAUUUGGAGUUGGGAGUAAAAAGAUAUGAGUGUUUGACUGCCAGGAACCCAUCUGUAAUGAAAAUAUUUUCAAACAGGGCCUGGACAGAAAAACAGAAAGCGUAAUUAGAAAAAUAUGCUUUCACUGAACUGAAAACGUAUUCAUGGCUGAAGAAGAGAGAAAGUGCGAUUUCGGUUGAGGAAAAAGUAUUCCGAAGAAUACGCUUUCACUUAUCCACGUCAUCAGCGGCGGGGCCGGGCUCCUGGGUCACUUACAGGUGGGGCCGCCGUUGACUCUCUCUCCUUCCUCGUUCCUUCUUCUUCCUCCCGCGCUCGAGAGAGGCAGAGGCAAGGCCAGCCACCUCAACGGCGAGUCCCGGCGACUCCGGCCAUCUCCCGUGGAGCUCGGCACACCGGCGUGCUCGGGAAGAAGCGGCGCAUCUGAUGGCGUAGGGCACGACCACCGAGGAGCACCGAGGCGAGGGCAGUUUCUAGGACGGCGGACGGUGGCUACGGGCGAUGAUGGACUUGGCAUUCCAAGCCACCCGAGGAGGAGGAGGAGGAGAAGAUGUGGGAAGGUUCGGGAUGCUCCGGGAUGUCUACUGGAGGUGGAAAGAGGAAGAGGGAGGCUUGGACUCCAGCUAAUUUAGGAGGGAGGCCGCGGCGGCCAUGGUGGCGAUGGGGGUCGAGGAGAGUGGCUUGAGCUCGGGCAAGGCACUAGGGAGGACUAGAGGAGGGUUGUGAGGCUGGUGGUGAGCUCGGACGAGGCCGUGGAUGGCUAUUUAUAGUCGGGGCGAGAGGCCUGGGCUCGGGUGCCGCCGGGCACUUGUGGCCGAGGCUCUGACGAGCUCAUCGAGCACGGGAGGGCGCGGGAACACGACGAGCCAAUGAUUUAGAGGUCACGGAGGGGUAGACGACGCCGGAGAGCAGAGGAAGAGGCCGAGGUGAGCUCGGAGCCAAACGGAGCACUGUGCCCCCGUGGGCGUUCGGCGGCGAGCGUUGGUGAGCGUCGGUGAGGAAAUGGACGGAGGGGGAGAGGGGCCCAGGGGAACGGCGACGACAAGAGGAAGACAAUGGACAUGGUCACGCGCGCGAAGGCGACGAGAGGAGGAGGUGCCGAAGCACAAACGGCCACUAGACGCGGCCACUGCACACAGAGCGUGUGCACUAUGAUGCCAUUAACGCGGUCACCGCGUGCACUGGCAUGUAGUGGGGGAGAUGGGCUUGAACAUGUUGUCUAGUGGUAAGUUCUUCCAGGGGAGGUUUCUACUGCGGUGGUAGAUCGAUGAAAACUGCUCUGGUUAAAUGGUAAGUAACCUCUGAAGUUUACUGCAGUAAACUUGGUCGUGAACUGCUGAGCAACAGGAAGGAGAUUAGGAGCAAUGGAGUUGUCUGCAAGGUUUAGGGUAAGAAGGACUUUCAUCCUGGUAACUUUGAGAAGAUUUGGACCAAGAUAAAUCACAGUUGCUUCACAACUACAUAUUUAGUCCAGAAUCAAGAUCAUGAUGGUGCACUCACAUGGAGUAUCAAAUUGAGCUCAAAUUUGGCAAGGCUUAGUGAUUUGGUCAUACUAAGAAGCUGUAACAAUUUCAUACCAAUUGGAUUCACCAAAAUGGUACUUCCUUCACAGCUAUCUUCACUGCCCAGAAUCUUGCAAGAAUUUUGGAGAAAUAUUGGCUAGGUGAAAUUGUGCCAAAUUUGGUGGAGAGAAGUUAUAUAGGUAGGAUCAUGAUCUGGUAAUUUAUCAAGAUUUUUGAAGCAAUAUAAAAUGCACUUACUUCACAACCUGAAAUUUUUGCCAGAAUCAAAGAUUUGGUCCCGUGCUCACAUAGAUGAUUGUAUGGGGCUGAAAUUUGGAGGAGGGAGAUAAUAUGAGCACAAGAAGAGGCAUGCAAAAUUUCAACUCAUUUGGAUUCUCCUAGCUAGUACUUCCUUCACAUUGGCUUCUGUUUGACAGAAAUUUUGAAAAAUCACUCAGGAAGAUUGCUAGGCAAAUAAAGUUGAAUUUUGGCAUGUGGCAAUUAUUUGGACAUAAAAGAAUGCCCAACAAGGUUGGGAGCAAACAAGAUAAGAUAAAUGACACUUCCUUCACAAAGUGCCACUCUGGACAGAAAGGAAGAAUAAUUAUUGGGGAAUUAUUCUUGGGCUAGGACAGGACAGUUUGGUCAUAUUUGAGCAACAUAUGACCCAAAGGAAUUAUGAGAAUUAUUUGGGAAUUUUUGGAUGGACAGAAAUAUAGGUUGCUUCACAACCUUGGGCAGACAGGGUUAUUCCCUUAAUAGAAAAAGGAAUAUUCCUGAGAAAAAUAAAUUAGGGUUUGGUCAAGCAGUGAAGUGACAUGAUCUUGGUAAGGUUUUGAGAAUGAUGAGCCACUUGGGAGAGGAAAUGAAGGUGAUUUCCCAGGUGGCAAGGCCACAGAACCACUCCAAAAAGAAAAACAGAGCAAAAAC